This 497-nucleotide ribosomal RNA is filed under the name uncultured bacterium. RNAcentral's name for it is "partial 16S ribosomal RNA". It matches the Rfam family "Bacterial small subunit ribosomal RNA", at positions 28 to 507 of the family's 1533-position model. The record is from RNAcentral.
GAUGAACGCUGGCGGCGUGCCUAAUACAUGCAAGUCGAGCGAACAGAUAAGGAGCUUGCUCCUUUGACGUUAGCGGCGGACGGGUGAGUAACACGUGGGUAACCUACCUAUAAGACUGGGAUAACUUCGGGGAACCGGAGCUAAUACCGGAUAACAUUUGGAACCGCAUGGUUCUAAAGUGAAAGAUGGUUUUGCUAUCACUUAUAGAUGGACCCGCGCCGUAUUAGCUAGUUGGUAAGGUAACGGCUUACCAAGGCGACGAUACGUAGCCGACCUGAGAGGGUGAUCGGCCACACUGGAACUGAGACACGGUCCAGACUCCUACGGGAGGCAGCAGUAGGGAAUCUUCCGCAAUGGGCGAAAGCCUGACGGAGCAACGCCGCGUGAGUGAUGAAGGGUUUCGGCUCGUAAAACUCUGUUAUUAGGGAAGAACAAAUGUGUAAGUAACUGUGCACGUCUUGACGGUACCUAAUCAGAAAGCCACGGCUAACUACGUG